UCAUGGCUCAGGAUGAACGCUGGCGGCGUGCUUAACACAUGCAAGUCGAACGAAGAUGCCGGAGUGCUUGCACUUUGGCAGACUGAGUGGCGGACGGGUGAGUAACGCGUGGGUAACCUGCCUUAUACAGGGGGAUAACAGUUGGAAACGACUGCUAAUACCGCAUAAGCGCACGGUAUCGCAUGAUACAGUGUGAAAAACUCCGGUGGUAUAAGAUGGACCCGCGUCUGAUUAGCUUGUUGGUGAGGUAACGGCCCACCAAGGCGACGAUCAGUAGCCGGCCUGAGAGGGUGAACGGCCACAUUGGGACUGAGACACGGCCCAAACUCCUACGGGAGGCAGCAGUGGGGAAUAUUGCACAAUGGGGGAAACCCUGAUGCAGCGACGCCGCGUGAGUGAUGAAGUAUUUCGGUAUGUAAAACUCUAUCAGCAGGGAAGAUAAUGACGGUACCUGACUAAGAAGCACCGGCUAAAUACGUG
This 480-nucleotide ribosomal RNA is filed under the name uncultured bacterium. RNAcentral's name for it is "bacterial SSU rRNA". It matches the Rfam family "Bacterial small subunit ribosomal RNA", at positions 17 to 507 of the family's 1533-position model. The record is from RNAcentral.